RNAcentral lists this ribosomal RNA (440 nucleotides) under uncultured bacterium. Its description in RNAcentral is "partial 16S ribosomal RNA". It matches the Rfam family "Bacterial small subunit ribosomal RNA", at positions 338 to 794 of the family's 1533-position model. The record is from RNAcentral.
CCUACGGGAGGCAGCAGUGGGGGAUAUUGCACAAUGGGGGAAACCCUGAUGCAGCGACGCCGCGUGGGUGAAGAAGUAUUUCGGUAUGUAAAGCCCUAUCAGCAGGGAAGAAAGAAGACGGUACCUGACUAAGAAGCCCCGGCUAACUACGUGCCAGCAGCCGCGGUAAUACGUAGAGGGCGAGCGUUAUCCGGAUUCACUGGGUGUAAAGGGAGCGUAGACGGCCGUGCAAGCCAGGAGUGAAAGCCCGGGGCCCAACCCCGGGACUGCUCUUGGAACUGUGCGGCUGGAGUGCGGGAGGGGCAGGCGGAAUUCCUGGUGUAGCGGUGAAAUGCGUAGAUAUCAGGAGGAACACCGGCGGCGAAGGCGGCCUGCUGGACCGCGACUGACGUUGAGGCUCGAAAGCGUGGGGAGCGAACAGGAUUAGAUACCCCUGUAUC